This 73-nucleotide transfer RNA is filed under the name Ictidomys tridecemlineatus (thirteen-lined ground squirrel). Its description in RNAcentral is "Spermophilus tridecemlineatus (thirteen-lined ground squirrel) tRNA". It matches the Rfam family "tRNA". From Rfam's summary of the family: Transfer RNA (tRNA) molecules are approximately 80 nucleotides in length. Their secondary structure includes four short double-helical elements and three loops (D, anti-codon, and T loops). The record is from Rfam by way of RNAcentral. Lineage: Eukaryota; Metazoa; Chordata; Mammalia; Rodentia; Sciuridae.
GGGGCUAUAGCUCAGUUGAUGGAGUGCUUGCCUCACAUUCAUAAGGCUCUGGGUUCAAUCCCCAGCACCUCUC